This 1051-nucleotide long non-coding RNA is filed under the name Phoenix dactylifera (date palm). RNAcentral's name for it is "long non-coding RNA (PDAC_LNC002591)". Lineage: Eukaryota; Viridiplantae; Streptophyta; Magnoliopsida; Arecales; Arecaceae. The record is from RNAcentral.
AGGGAGAGAGAGGGAGGGUGGGAGAGAGAGAGAGAGGGUGGUGNNNNNNNNNNNNNNNNNNNNAGAGAGGAGGUGGGAGAGAGAGAGAGAGAGGGUGGUGGUCAAAAGUGGAGCUCCUCCGACAACGGCGCUCAAGGUUCCGGCAACGGUGCUUAGGGUUCUGGCAGCGUGGCGGCGAUAAGCUUCUUUUGUAACGCCCCCUAAAUUCCUCCUUAUCGAAUUACUCAUAGGUCUCUACUUUUUUUCCUGCAUUUGAUCUUCAAAUUUGCUUCGCCUGCUUUUCUUGCUUUUGCUUCUUGGAAAGGUCGGGCUUAUUUGUCAUUUUUGUUUGAUCUGUUGGUUUCGAUUUGUGCCAUUGGCUGUGGGUGGAGCAUGUAGGAUUGGAUUUCGAUCUUUCUCCCUAUGAUGCGUCUAUCUUUGCUCUUUUUCGAUUUUUUAGCUUGAUUUUUUCAUGUUUUCAUGGCAUUUCGAUUUUUUGUGUUGUUAGCCUUUGAAUGGGUUUUUCUUGUGAUCAGAUGAAGUGUGGCUCAUCGAUUGUCCACCACCCACUGUGUCGUCGGUCUCAACACUCACUGCAAACAAGCCAAGGUGAGAGAGGUCGUCGAGCUCAUGAACUUACGCACCUUGCUGAUUCCCCAACCUUUUCUCCAAGCACUUGAGGAAAUUCAAGUGCUUUUGGUGCUUGUUGCAUGUUUGACAAAAUGGCUCAACGAAGAAGGUAUCUGCUAUUUUAGUUCCGAUGGACACAGGUGUUUGAUUUAUUCAAAUCCAUAUGACAGUAAGUCUUUGGAACAACCGCCUCUCAUGACUUUCCUCUUAAAGAUAAAAGAUAAGAACGAGUACUAUCACAUGUAUAUGGGUCAGCUUUCCUUUAAAAAAUAUUAUGAAUUUCAUGUGAGGUUAUUUCGGGCCUUUUGGGAUUUGUAAGACUUAACUUUUGACUUGAUUCUAUUUUUACAACUAUUGUUAGAAUUUUUCCUGAGAUUGACCUUGGGAUGCUCUGUGGUUGUUGAUAUCAGUUUCGCAGCAUGGCAGCUGAAAUAUUUCUCAA